UAAUUCAGGAAACUGAUUUUCAAAAAACAAAAUUCACCUUUUAAACAAAAACCAAAACCACUCCUUAUAGAUUUUCAACAAAAUUGCUAUUAGUUUUUUUUUUCAAUAUUAAAUUUUGCAAGUAUUACUAUUUUCUCCAUUUAACUUUAACAAAAUAUAAUUUUUGUAUACGAGAAAAGUUUUCAUACUUUUACACAUCUCUAUUAUAAUAAUUUGUAACAAUGUAUUUUCUAAAAAUUAUGAUAUAACACACUUAUGCA
This 260-nucleotide long non-coding RNA is filed under the name Brassica napus (rape). Its description in RNAcentral is "long non-coding RNA (BNAP_LNC008155)". The record is from RNAcentral. Lineage: Eukaryota; Viridiplantae; Streptophyta; Magnoliopsida; Brassicales; Brassicaceae.